CCUACGGGAGGCAGCAGGGAGGAAUAGUGGUCAAUGGACGCAAGUCUGAACCAGCCAAGCAGCGGGCAGGAAGACGGCUCUAUGAGUUGUAAACUGCUUUUGUACGAGGGUAAACUCAGAUACGUGUAUCUGUCUGAAAGUAUCGUACGAAUAAGGAUCGGCUAACUCCGUGCCAGCAGCCGCGGUAAUACGGAGGAUUCAAGCGUUAUCCGGAUUUAUUGGGUUUAAAGGGUGCGUAGGUGGUCGGAUAAGUUAGAGGUGAAAUCCCGGGGCUCAACUUCGGAAUUGCCUCUGAUACUGUUGGGCUAGAGCGUGGUUGCGGUAGGCGGAAUGUGUGGUGUAGCGGUGAAAUGCUUAGAGAUCAUGCAGAACACCGAUUGCGAAGGCAGCUUACCAGGCUACAUCUGACGUUGAGGCACGAAAGCGUGGGGAGCAAACAGGAUUAGAUACCCGGGUAGUC
This 460-nucleotide ribosomal RNA is filed under the name uncultured bacterium. RNAcentral describes it as "partial 16S ribosomal RNA". It matches the Rfam family "Bacterial small subunit ribosomal RNA", at positions 338 to 795 of the family's 1533-position model. The record is from RNAcentral.